RNAcentral lists this ribosomal RNA (1343 nucleotides) under uncultured bacterium. RNAcentral's name for it is "16S ribosomal RNA". It matches the Rfam family "Bacterial small subunit ribosomal RNA", at positions 28 to 1378 of the family's 1533-position model. The record is from RNAcentral.
GACGAACGUUGGCGGCGUGCUUAACACAUGCAAGUCGAACGGAAAGGCCCUGCUUUUGUGGGGUGCUCGAGUGGCGAACGGGUGAGUAACACGUGAGUAACCUGCCCUUGACUUUGGGAUAACUUCAGGAAACUGGGGCUAAUACCGGAUAGGAGCUCCUGCUGCAUGGUGGGGGUUGGAAAGUUUCGGCGGUUGGGGAUGGACUCGCGGCUUAUCAGCUUGUUGGUGGGGUAGUGGCUUACCAAGGCUUUGACGGGUAGCCGGCCUGAGAGGGUGACCGGCCACAUUGGGACUGAGAUACGGCCCAGACUCCUACGGGAGGCAGCAGUGGGGAAUAUUGCACAGUGGGCGGAAGCCUGAUGCAGCAACGCCGCGUGCGGGAUGACGGCCUUCGGGUUGUAAACCGCUUUCGCCUGUGACGAAGCGUGAGUGACGGUAAUGGGUAAAGAAGCACCGGCUAACUACGUGCCGGCAGCCGCGGUGAUACGUAGGGUGCGAGCGUUGUCCGGAUUUAUUGGGCGUAAAGGGCUCGUAGGUGGUUGAUCGCGUCGGAAGUGUAAUCUUGGGGCUUAACCCUGAGCGUGCUUUCGAUACGGGUUGACUUGAGGAAGGUAGGGGAGAAUGGAAUUCCUGGUGGAGCGGUGGAAUGCGCAGAUAUCAGGAGGAACACCAGUGGCGAAGGCGGUUCUCUGGGCCUUUCCUGACGCUGAGGAGCGAAAGCGUGGGGAGCGAACAGGCUUAGAUACCCUGGUAGUCCACGCUGUAAACGGUGGGUACUAGGUGUGGGGUCCAUUCCACGGGUUCCGUGCCGUAGCUAACGCUUUAAGUACCCCGCCUGGGGAGUACGGCCGCAAGGCUAAAACUCAAAGGAAUUGACGGGGCCCCGCACAAGCGGCGGAGCAUGCGGAUUAAUUCGAUGCAACGCGUAGAACCUUACCUGGGUUUGACAUGGAUCGGGAGUGCUCAGAGAUGGGUGUGCCUCUUUUGGGGUCGGUUCACAGGUGGUGCAUGGCUGUCGUCAGCUCGUGUCGUGAGAUGUUGGGUUAAGUCCCGCAACGAGCGCAACCCUUGUUCACUGUUGCCAGCACGUUAUGGUGGGGACUCAGUGGAGACCGCCGGGGUCAACUCGGAGGAAGGUGGGGAUGACGUCAAGUCAUCAUGCCCCUUAUGUCCAGGGCUUCACGCAUGCUACAAUGGCUGGUACAGAGAGUGGCGAGCCUGUGAGGGUGAGCGAAUCUCGGAAAGCCGGUCUCAGUUCGGAUUGGGGUCUGCAACUCGACCUCAUGAAGUCGGAGUCGCUAGUAAUCGCAGAUCAGCAACGCUGCGGUGAAUACGUUCCCGGG